AUCUCGGUGGUGUAAAGGUAGCACGCAUCCCCGCUAUGGAUGUAACGCGGGUUCGACUCCGGCCUAAGGUC
Molecule: non-coding RNA, 71 nt
Organism: Parelaphostrongylus tenuis
Lineage: Eukaryota; Metazoa; Nematoda; Chromadorea; Rhabditida; Metastrongylidae
Source: the annotation of a GenBank genome assembly